Molecule: transfer RNA, 535 nt
Filed under: uncultured cyanobacterium
Lineage: Bacteria; Bacillati; Cyanobacteriota
Description: partial contains 16S ribosomal RNA, 16S-23S ribosomal RNA intergenic spacer, and 23S ribosomal RNA
Rfam family: tRNA (bases 211-283)
Source: RNAcentral
CAGGGAGACAACAAAAUGUUAAAUAUUAAUUUUGUCACCUUAGGUCGAUCGGUAUCUCAGAUUCUUAAAUCCUUUAAGAAUUUCAAUUCCUAAGUUUUUCUAGGUCACACCCAUUACUUUCCCUGGGCCAUUAGCUCAGGUGGUUAGAGCGCACCCCUGAUAAGGGUGAGGUCCCUGGUUCAAGUCCAGGAUGGCCCAUAUCUCUAUGUUGGGGGUAUAGCUCAGUUGGUAGAGCGCCUGCUUUGCAAGCAGGAUGUCAGCGGUUCGAGUCCGCUUACCUCCACUGAUUACCACCUCUCUCAUGAAUUUCGAGGGAAUUGUUUUGAGAUGUGAUUUUGAUCUGAACGAAUCUAGCUUCCUAAUUAAUAUUAAGAUGCUGGACUCAUUGAAUUUUAUUCAUUGUUUUCAGAGAACCUUGACAACUGCAUAGAUUUUUUAAAAGACAAUAAGCAUCUUUAAUGAUGCAGAUUUAUUAUUUGUGCUUAAUGCAUUAAUAACAAUUCUAUUGAGCUGAUGCUUCAAUUUUGAAGUUAUU